CUUUGCGAUAUUCAGAUUGGACGCUUGGACACGCUAAGCCGCUGUAUGAAGUCAGCUAGAGUUUGUGAAAAUCCACUAGUGUCUAAUUGGAAGGAAGUAUCUGCCGAAAUAAGAGUUCAUUAUUAUGCAAUCCAGCGCAGAUGCUGUGAAGAGACACAGAAAUGGCUCCCAGGCACAUGAGGGGAAAGCAGCUAAGGAGGAGGCCUUGCGUUGGUCCUUCAAAAGUGCCUUCCUGUAGGGAAUUCAGCACGUAGGAACUCCAUGGAAGAAAUAAGUAUUGUACAGGCCAACUGCCAGGGCGGCUUGCUCACAAUAUGAAAAAGAAUCAGCUGCUGUAAGAGAGGAGCGACUUCAUACAAAUGCCAGUGUUUGUCUAGUGACUUGAAGUAGCUGUAGAUUAAUACCCCAAUAUGUGGCAUAUUAUCUCCAAUAUUAAACAUAAAAAUUAAUUUAUGUGCCCCUAUUUUAAGGGUAGGGACUUAUGGAUAGACAAAAGCCUUUGCCUGAUUUAGGGUAGGAUCUCUCUGGUUACCCCCAGAUAAUUACACACCCAGAAAUGUUUGUAUCUUGUAAAAGGCCCCUGAACUUUUCCAUGCUUAACAGCCCCCUGACUUUUAUUAUAAAUUCAAUAUGGAAAGGUUGAGUUUCAGAAAGAAUUAUUUCAGUGUUAUCUCUGAUCAGUAUAGCAUCAAUGAGUAAUUUCACUAUCUGAAUUAAACUUAGGACACCUGUUUAAAUAUUGCCUAAACAGAUUAUGUCAAAUGUUAGAGAACUGGAAGUAUCUUGGAGGCAAGAUAAAUCAUUGGCUGCCAAGUGAGAGCAAACUGCUGUUAAUGUCUAAAAUGUAAAUAAAUACAUACAUACAUAUAUACAUAUGGGGAUCAAAAACAAUGCCAUGGUAAGAUUAAUAAAAUAACAAUCAGAGA
Felis catus (domestic cat) is the source of this 926-nucleotide long non-coding RNA. RefSeq lists it as uncharacterized. Lineage: Eukaryota; Metazoa; Chordata; Mammalia; Carnivora; Felidae. The record is from RefSeq and is a predicted model, not a curated record. The transcript is spliced from 2 exons.